This 108-nucleotide small nuclear RNA is filed under the name Felis catus (domestic cat). The record is from RNAcentral. Lineage: Eukaryota; Metazoa; Chordata; Mammalia; Carnivora; Felidae.
GUGCUCACUUCGGCAGCACAUAUACUAAAAUUGGAAUGAUACAGAGAAGAUUAACAAUGGUCCCUGCGCAAGGAUGACACGCAAAUUCGUGAAGUGUUCCAUAUUUAA